CAUGCAUGAAUGAACUGAUCUUUUGAUGUAACAGACUCAGAACAUGAUUCCUCAGUCUAUACUUACCAGCUUGGAAUAUUUUGCGGCAAUGGAUUAUUAGUUCUAUUAUAUUCCCCCACUUUAUUCCCCUAAUACCAGUAUAUAAUAUUACAUGCAAAGCCCACAACGAAAACCCCCCUUCUGACAUCCGUCCAGAUUUCUGCAAUCGGCGAGACGAAUGCGGCGGCUGCGAAAAGGCCGUUGUUUUUCAAAAUGUCGUUGGUGGUGCAUGAACGGGGACCCUGUAUAUUGUGAACAAUAUUCAGACUAUUAUCUUAGGGCACGAUCAAUGAGUCUCUCUAUCCCGCUGAUUUAGCCAACAAGGCUCUGAGCUGGAGUGGGGACCAGAAGAACAAAAAAAAGGAUGAAGAAGCAUUGCAUACAUCGGAGCGGACAUCUAGAGACUGACUACUGUUACAUACAGGCUGAUAUGAAACGCUGCCCAGUUGCCUGUCAAGAGACUUGGUGUUUUAUCGUAUGUUUGUGUCCCUCUGGAUAGUGAAGAAGGUUGAUCCGGACGAAACAAGAAGCAGGUAAAAUGUUAGUAAUACGGAUAAUCUUAAUGGGAAAUCUAAUAUGGGCCCCUUAGCGGGGAACCUGCAUAGCUAAUCGAAAAAUCUCGCGCAAGGGGACUCUAAAUGAAUUAAAGUGUUCCAAAUAGGUGGGGAUAGAACAGGGUGAAAGUAAAUGUGGUAGAAAAAACCGAGUUGAUGGUAGUCAAGGAUUCGCAAUAACAUUCACGUUAUGACGGAAUAUCAAAAUUUGCUCUUACCAGAGCCUCUAUGUCAACCAAUCAAAUAGCCUUGCCUUCAAAAGUUCAAAUGCCC
This 866-nucleotide small RNA is filed under the name Histoplasma capsulatum. Its description in RNAcentral is "hypothetical RNA". Lineage: Eukaryota; Fungi; Ascomycota; Eurotiomycetes; Onygenales; Ajellomycetaceae. RNAcentral also lists the same sequence under 1 other name. The record is from RNAcentral.